GACGAACGCUGGCGGCGUGCCUAAUACAUGCAAGUCGAGCGGACGAACCGAAAGCUUGCUUUUGUUUCGUUAGCGGCGGACGGGUGAGUAACACGUGGGCAACCUGCCCUGUAGACGGGGAUAACGCCGAGAAAUCGGUGCUAAUACCGGAUAACACGAAAUGUCUCAUGACGUUUCGUUGAAAGACGGCGCACGCUGUCGCUACAGAAUGGUCCCGCGGCGCAUUAGCUAGUUGGUGAGGUAACGGCUCACCAAGGCGACGAUGCGUAGCCGACCUGAGAGGGUGAUCGGCCACACUGGGACUGAGACACGGCCCAGACUCCUACGGGAGGCAGCAGUAAGGAAUCUUCCGCAAUGGACGAAAGUCUGACGGAGCAACGCCGCGUGAGCGAAGAAGGCCUUCGGGUCGUAAAGCUCUGUUGUUAGGGAAGAACAAGUAACGCAGUAACUGGCGUUACCGUGACGGUACCUAACGAGAAAGCCACGGCUAACUACGUG
This 498-nucleotide ribosomal RNA is filed under the name uncultured bacterium. Its description in RNAcentral is "partial 16S ribosomal RNA". It matches the Rfam family "Bacterial small subunit ribosomal RNA", at positions 28 to 507 of the family's 1533-position model. The record is from RNAcentral.